ACUCCUACGGGAGGCAGCAGUGAGGAAUAUUGGUCAAUGGGCGAGAGCCUGAACCAGCCAAGUCGCGUGAGGGAUGAAUGGUCUAUGGGUUGUAAACUUCUUUUAUAUGGGAAUAAAGUGAGCCACGUGUGGCUUUUUGUAUGUACCAUACGAAUAAGGAUCGGCUAACUACGUGCCAGCAGCCGCGGUAAUAC
RNAcentral lists this ribosomal RNA (194 nucleotides) under uncultured bacterium. RNAcentral describes it as "partial 16S ribosomal RNA". It matches the Rfam family "Bacterial small subunit ribosomal RNA", at positions 335 to 526 of the family's 1533-position model. The record is from RNAcentral.